RNAcentral lists this ribosomal RNA (253 nucleotides) under uncultured bacterium. RNAcentral describes it as "partial 16S ribosomal RNA". It matches the Rfam family "Bacterial small subunit ribosomal RNA", at positions 524 to 776 of the family's 1533-position model. The record is from RNAcentral.
GACGUAGGGUGCAAGCGUUGUCCGGAUUUAUUGGGCGUAAAGAGCUCGUAGGCGGCUUGUUGCGUCGACUGUGAAAACCCGCGGCUUAACCGCGGGCUUGCAGUUGAUACGGGCAGGCUAGAGUUCGGUAGGGGAGACUGGAAUUCCUGGUGUAGCGGUGAAAUGCGCAGAUAUCAGGAGGAACACCGAUGGCGAAGGCAGGUCUCUGGGACGGUACUGACGCUGAGGAGCGAAAGCGUGGGGAGCGAACAGG